RNAcentral lists this long non-coding RNA (1113 nucleotides) under Apteryx owenii (little spotted kiwi). RNAcentral describes it as "lncRNA (ENSAOWG00000003616.1)". The record is from RNAcentral. Lineage: Eukaryota; Metazoa; Chordata; Aves; Apterygiformes; Apterygidae.
CCCGCGUCCUGACCCCAAAUCCCACGUCCUGAACCCCAAAUCCCAUGUCCUGGCCUGGAAUCCCCCGUCCUGACCCCGACACACUGUAUCACCAGGGGAUACAAUGUAUCAGGGCGGCUCAGGGAUACAAUGUAUCAAGGGGGCGGGAACCGGGCGUCUAUAGGGGACCCGGAGCAGCUCCAUAGGGGACACAGGGAGCCUCAGGGUGGGACAGGGCAUCUGUAGGGGACCCGGAGCAUCUCUGGGUGGGACACGCAGUAUCUCCAGUGGUCAGAGAGCAUCUUUGAGGGACACGUUGGACCUCCAGAGGGGACACGGAGCAUCUCCAGGGGACCCGGAGCACCUCCGAGGGACACGUCGGACCUCCAGAGGGGACACGGAGCAUCUCCAGGGGACCCGGAGCACCUCCGGGGGACACGUCGGACCUCCAGAAGGGACGCAGAGCAUCUCCAGGGGACCCGGAGCACCUCCGAGGGACACGUCGGACCUCCAGAGGGGACCUGGAGCACCUCCGGGGGACGCGUCGGACCUCCAGAGGGGACGCGGAGCAUCUCCGGGGGACCCGGAGCACCUCCGGGGGACGCGUCGGACCUCCAGAGGGGACACGGAGCAUCUCCAGGGGACCCGGAGCACCUCCGGGGGACACGUCGGACCUCCAGAGGGGACACGGAGCAUCUCCAGGGGACCCGGAGCACCUCUGGGGGACAUGUCGGACCUCCAGAAGGGACGCAGAGCAUCUCCAGGGGACCCGGAGCACCUCCGAGGGACACGUCGGACCUCCAGAGGGGACACGGAGCAUCUCCAGGGGACCUGGAGCACCUCCGGGGGACGCGUCGGACCCCGGACGCCUGGGUCCCCUCCCGUCUCCCCCCUCGUCUCCAGGACGUGACGUCAUCCCCGCCGCCGGUGACAUCAUGACGCCGUGGGGCCGGCCGCGCUCGGGGGGGUUUAUUAAAAGCAGGGAGAGCCCGGGGGGGGCGAGGGGGAAGGAGGGGGGUCAGGAGGGGAAAUUUGGCAAAAUCCGGCCCCCCCCCCCAAAUAAAUACGCACCGUUGCCCCUCCCCCAAGGGGGCGUGGUCUGCUCUAACAGCCGAUUGGCACCCCCAAAACCUG